Molecule: ribosomal RNA, 403 nt
Filed under: bacterium
Lineage: Bacteria
Description: partial 16S ribosomal RNA
Rfam family: Bacterial small subunit ribosomal RNA
Source: RNAcentral
UGGGGAAUAUUGCACAAUGGGGGAAACCCUGAUGCAGCGACGCCGCGUGAACGAAGAAGGUAUUCGUAUCGUAAAGUUCUGUCCUAUGGGAAGAUAAUGACAGUACCAUAGAAGAAAGCUCCGGCUAAAUACGUGCCAGCAGCCGCGGUAAUACGUAUGGAGCGAGCGUUAGCCGGAAUUAUUGGGCGUAAAGGGUACGCAGGCGGUUUAAUAAGUCGAAUGUUAAAGAUCGGGGCUCAACCCCGCAAAGCAUUGGAAACUGAUAAACUUGAGUAGUGGAGAGGAAAGUGGAAUUCCUAGUGUAGUGGUGAAAUACGUAGAUAUUAGGAGGAAUACCAGUAGCGAAGGCGACUUUCUGGACACAAACUGACGCUGAGGUACGAAAGCGUGGGGAGCAAACAGG